Molecule: ribosomal RNA, 569 nt
Filed under: uncultured Gammaproteobacteria bacterium
Lineage: Bacteria; Pseudomonadati; Pseudomonadota; Gammaproteobacteria
Description: bacterial SSU rRNA
Rfam family: Bacterial small subunit ribosomal RNA
Source: RNAcentral
UCGAUUUGGAGUUUGUUGCCUAGAGUGAUGGGCUCCGAAGCUAACGCGAUAAAUCGACCGCCUGGGGAGUACGGCCGCAAGGUUAAAACUCAAAUGAAUUGACGGGGGCCCGCACAAGCGGUGGAGCAUGUGGUUUAAUUCGAUGCAACGCGAAGAACCUUACCUGGUCUUGACAUCCACAGAAUCUUGCAGAGAUGUGAGAGUGCCUUCGGGAACUGUGAGACAGGUGCUGCAUGGCUGUCGUCAGCUCGUGUUGUGAAAUGUUGGGUUAAGUCCCGCAACGAGCGCAACCCUUAUCCUUUGUUGCCAUCGGUUCGGCCGGGAACUCAAAGGAGACUGCCGUUGAUAAAGCGGAGGAAGGUGGGGACGACGUCAAGUCAUCAUGGCCCUUACGACCAGGGCUACACACGUGCUACAAUGGCGUAUACAAAGGGAGGCGACCUCGCGAGAGCAAGCGGACCUCAUAAAGUACGUCUAAGUCCGGAUUGAAGUCUGCAACUCGACUCCAUGAAGUCGGAAUCGCUAGUAAUCGUGAAUCAGAAUGUCACGGUGAAUACGUUCCCGGGCCU